This is a long non-coding RNA of Anneissia japonica, 249 nucleotides long. RefSeq lists it as uncharacterized. The record is from RefSeq and is a predicted model, not a curated record. The transcript has 3 exons. NCBI's taxonomy places the organism in Eukaryota, Metazoa, Echinodermata, Crinoidea, Comatulida, Comatulidae.
UGCAGCAGCACAAGACGGACGUGGGGAGACUGGGGAAGACUUUUUCCAACGAAUAAUGUUAGAAACAGAAACACAAAUUACAUGGCCAUCCAAAUUAAAGAUAGGUGCAAAAUCAAAGAAAGGGUGUUAAACCAGAUAGGCAUGUCGUUGCCUCUUUUCAACCUCCUUUUAUCUAAAAUUUUAGGCCUAUAUGUAUAUUAUAUUUGUCUUCAUUGUAAAUGUAAAAAAAAAAAAAUAUUUUGUUUUGGG